CAGCAGCCGCGGGAAUACGAAGGGUGCAAGCGUUAAUCGGAAUUACUGGGCGUAAAGCGUGCGUAGGCGGUGAGUUAAGUCUGCUGUGAAAUCCCCGGGCUCAACCUGGGAAUGGCAGUGGAUACUGGCAAGCUAGAGUGUGGCAGAGGGGGGUGGAAUUCCGCGUGUAGCAGUGAAAUGCGUAGAUAUGCGGAGGAACACCGAUGGCGAAGGCAGCCCCCUGGGCCAACACUGACGCUCAUGCACGAAAGCGUGGGGAGCAAACAGGAUUAGAUACCCCCGUAGUCCCUGUCUCUUAUAA
RNAcentral lists this ribosomal RNA (301 nucleotides) under uncultured bacterium. Its description in RNAcentral is "partial 16S ribosomal RNA". It matches the Rfam family "Bacterial small subunit ribosomal RNA", at positions 509 to 809 of the family's 1533-position model. The record is from RNAcentral.